This 448-nucleotide ribosomal RNA is filed under the name uncultured soil bacterium. RNAcentral's name for it is "bacterial SSU rRNA". It matches the Rfam family "Bacterial small subunit ribosomal RNA", at positions 26 to 479 of the family's 1533-position model. The record is from RNAcentral.
AGGAUGAACGCUGGCGGCGUGCCUAAUACAUGCAAGUCGAGCGCCCCUUUAAGAGGUGACAAUCAUUUGAUUGUCGGUUCCUAUGGGGAGCGGCGGACGGCUGAGUAACGCGUGGGAACGUGCCCCAAAGUGAGGGAUAAGCACCGGAAACGGUGUCUAAUACCGCAUAUGAUCUUCGGAUUAAAGCUUUAUGCGCUUUGGGAGCGGCCUGCAUCCUAUUAGAUAGUUGGUGAGGUAAAGGCUCACCAAGUCAACGAUGGGUAGCUGGUCUGAGAGGAUGACCAGCCAGACUGGAACUGAGACACGGUCCAGACUCCGUAGGGAGCAGCAGUAAGGAUCUCCACAAUGGGCAAAGCCUGAUGGAGCGAACGCCGCGUGCGAGGAGUGAAGGCCGUUACGGUCGUAAACUGUACUUUUAGUGUAGUAGAAGUAAUAGUAGAACGGUAAC